RNAcentral lists this long non-coding RNA (141 nucleotides) under Danio rerio (zebrafish). RNAcentral describes it as "lncRNA (ENSDARG00000117677.1)". The record is from RNAcentral. Lineage: Eukaryota; Metazoa; Chordata; Actinopteri; Cypriniformes; Danionidae.
GUGGUGCUUCAGUGAGUGGAAAACCUGGUCUUAAUGGGGCAAUCAGAUGGCACCACAUGGAGAAAAGAAGGAAUCACACACCUCAGCAACGACUGGAUGGUUUUUCUUUUUCAGGUAAUGGAGAGAGAGCAGGCAGAAGAG